This 506-nucleotide ribosomal RNA is filed under the name uncultured bacterium. RNAcentral describes it as "partial 16S ribosomal RNA". It matches the Rfam family "Bacterial small subunit ribosomal RNA", at positions 28 to 523 of the family's 1533-position model. The record is from RNAcentral.
GAUGAACGCUAGCUACAGGCUUAACACAUGCAAGUCGAGGGGUAACAAGAGGAAAGCUUGCUUUAUUUGUUGACGACCGGCGCACGGGUGAGUAACGCGUAUCCAACCUGCCUAUAACUAGGGAAUAACCUUGCGAAAGUAAGACUAAUACCCUAUGAUUUCCUUUGAUGACAUCAGAUUAGGACUAAAGAUUUAUCGGUUAUAGAUGGGGAUGCGUCUGAGUAGCUUGUUGGCGGGGUAACGGCCCACCAAGACAACGAUCAGUAGGGGUUCUGUGAUGAAGGUCCCCCACAUUGGAACUGAGACACGGUCCAAACUCCUACGGGAGGCAGCAGUUAGGAAUAUUGGUCAAUGGGCGGAAGCCUGAACCAGCCAAGUAGCGUGCAGGAUGACGGCCCUAUGGGUUGUAAACUGCUUUUAUACAGGAAUAAAGUUAGCCACGUGUGGUUAUUUGUAGGUACUGUAUGAAUAAGGACCGGCUAAUUCCGUGCCAGCCGCCGCCGUAA